GUCAAAGAAGAGAGGGGGUCUGUCAUUACCGAACAUAAAACAUUACAGUGUUGCCUUUGAGAUGUCCAAGCUCACAAAACACUGGGAUGAAACCGGUGCUGGUCUGGGCUGGGUCCUGUUUGAGCGGGAACUCACGUCCCUCUUUAAACCCAUUGAGGUUCUUGCACAUAUAGUCAAACAUGAGAAAAAUAAAACGAUCAACCCUAUUUUAGAACAUUGGAAAAUGGUUUGGCAAGAGGUACAUAAGAGAUGUAAAAUCUCUCAGUAUACUCAAAAAUAUGCACCCAUAUGGCAUAAUCCAAAAAUAAAGAUAGACAGACAGACUAUCUAUUGGGUUCAAUGGUUAAGAAAAGAUAUUAGAAUAUGGGAUGAUCUAUUUGAAAAUGGUAAUUUUCUUUCAUAUAUCAGAUUUAAGGAAAAGUUUCACUUAGAGGGCAACGGCCACUUUUGGAAAUAUUUACAAAUUAGACACUACAUUAAAGAGGUUGUUCCCGCUGGUCCAGUUGAGUGUUAUUUACAACUACCUAAAAUGCAUCAUAAAGCAUCAAAAUGGUAUGAAAUGUGUCCUUGGACAAACAGUAAUGGUUGUGGUAAUCUCAAGCGGAUAUGGGAGAAGGAUUUGUCUUGCACGUUGGAUGAAAAAACAUGGGAGGGGAUUCUUUCCAACACUGAAAACUACAUAAGAGAAGCCAGAGGUAAAUGUAUUCAGUAUAAAAAAAUUCAUAGAUAUUAUUUCACUCCAUCAAGACUUAAUAGAAUGGGUUUACUUAACAAUGAUCUAUGCUGGAAAUGUGGGGAAAUAAGUGGCACAUUUGUACAUGCAUUAUGGGAAUGUUCUAAGAUCUUCCCUUUGUGGGAAAAUGUAAUAGAUUAUAUGGGCAAAUGGCUGAAUUGUGAACUUCCCAGAUCACCAAGACUAUGUCUCCUUGGAGACAGAACUAUGGUAUCACACUUAAACAAACAUAUUUUUGGAAUCUUGAAAACUAGCCUUAUCACUUGUGCACGAAUAAUCUUAAGGUGUUGGAAGGAACCUCAAGCCCCCACGCUGAAUAUGUGGAGAACUCAGAUGAUGGAAACUGUUGCAUAUGAGAAAAUGCUGGGGAGAUUAAACAGUGAAAAUUACAUGACAAACGAACAGUGGGACAGUUUUGGCAAAUAUAUAUCAAGAGAGAACAGCUAAACCAUGUAUAGAUAUUCCUUAUUGUCUGGUAUGGAUAUGUAUUACAUUAAGGCCAUACACUCUACCUGAAUAAUGGACUGCCCCUCGCAUCCGAAUAUAUGCUGUUAUUUAUUGAAUCGCCUAUUUACCUGCCUAUGUCUUGUUUCUUUUGUCUGUUUUUUAUUUUUCGUUUUCAUUACCUCCAUUCUGUGUGGUUUACCUGUUCGUAUGUAUGGUUGUCUGUUUCAUGUUUAUAAUUAUGGAAAAUAAUAAAAAACUUUUUUUAAAAAAAACAAAAAAAAAGUUUCAAAUAAGCAGUGGUUUGAACAAACGUACUUUGCUUAAAUUAAAGGGAUAUUCCGGCCUAAGUUUAAUCCAUUGUCUUAGACACAGUGACACCGAGUAAGACCCCCCCCC
RNAcentral lists this long non-coding RNA (1576 nucleotides) under Sparus aurata (gilthead seabream). RNAcentral's name for it is "lncRNA (ENSSAUG00010017003.1)". The record is from RNAcentral. Lineage: Eukaryota; Metazoa; Chordata; Actinopteri; Spariformes; Sparidae.